GCUGGGUGAGGUUGUGCAUGCCUGUAAUCCCAGCAGCUUGGGAGGCUGAGGCAGGAGGAUUGUGAGUUCAAAGCCAGCUUCAGCAAAAAGUGAGGUGCUAAGCAACUCAGUAAGACCCUGUCUCUA
This 126-nucleotide small RNA is filed under the name Marmota monax (woodchuck). Lineage: Eukaryota; Metazoa; Chordata; Mammalia; Rodentia; Sciuridae. The record is from RNAcentral.